AGUGAACGCUGGCGGUAGGCCUAACACAUGCAAGUCGAACGGCAGCACAGUAAGGGCUUGCUCUUACGGGUGGUGAGUGGCGGACGGGUGAGGAAUACAUCGGAAUCUACUUUUUCGUGGGGGAUAACGUAGGGAAACUUACGCUAAUACCGCAUACGACCUACGGGUGAAAGCAGGGGAUCUUCGGACCUUGCGCGAUUGAAUGAGCCGAUGUCGGAUUAGCUAGUUGGCGGGGUAAAGGCCCACCAAGGCGACGAUCCGUAGCUGGUCUGAGAGGAUGAUCAGCCACACUGGAACUGAGACACGGUCCAGACUCCUACGGGAGGCAGCAGUGGGGAAUAUUGGACAAUGGGCGCAAGCCUGAUCCAGCCAUACCGCGUGGGUGAAGAAGGCCUUCGGGUUGUAAAGCCCUUUUGUUGGGAAAGAAAAGCAGCAGGUUAAUACCCCGCUGUUCUGACGGUACCCAAAGAAUAAGCACCGGCUAACUUCGUG
This 492-nucleotide ribosomal RNA is filed under the name uncultured bacterium. RNAcentral describes it as "partial 16S ribosomal RNA". It matches the Rfam family "Bacterial small subunit ribosomal RNA", at positions 29 to 507 of the family's 1533-position model. The record is from RNAcentral.